UAACGCGUGGGUAACCUGCCUUGUACAGGGGGAUAGCAGUUAGAAAUGACUGAUAAUACCGCAUAAGCGCACGAGAUCGCAUGGUUUCGUGUGAAAAACUGAGGUGGUACAAGAUGGACCCGCGUCUGAUUAGCUAGUUGGUGAGGUAAAGGCUCACCAAGGCGACGAUCGGUAGCUGGUCUGAGAGGACGACCAGCCACACUGGGACUGAGACACGGCCCAG
Molecule: ribosomal RNA, 223 nt
Filed under: uncultured bacterium
Lineage: Bacteria
Description: partial 16S ribosomal RNA
Rfam family: Bacterial small subunit ribosomal RNA
Source: RNAcentral